This 320-nucleotide ribosomal RNA is filed under the name uncultured Cercomonas. RNAcentral's name for it is "SSU rRNA". The stretch from base 82 to 320 matches the Rfam family "Eukaryotic small subunit ribosomal RNA", at positions 716 to 955 of the family's 1831-position model. The record is from RNAcentral. Lineage: Eukaryota; Cercozoa; Cercomonadida; Cercomonadidae.
GAUUUCUGGUAUGGCGCACUUGGCCCGUCUCGGUUACGAGUUUGUGUGCCGGUGUGCGCCUGCCAUCUUCUUGGGGAAUUACGCUAACUUCACUGUUGGCGUAACUAGCCAAGUCUUUUACUUUGAAAAAAUUAGAGUGUUUAAAGCAGGCUUGUUGCUAUGAAUACAUUAGCAUGGAAUAAUAAUUUAGGACUUUGGUCUUAUUUUGUUGGUUUCUAGGACUAAAGUAAUGAUUGAUAGAGAUAGUUGGGGGUGCUAGUAUUCAGCGGCCAGAGGUGAAAUUCUUGGAUUCGCUGAAGACUAACUUAUGCGAAAGCAUU